This 491-nucleotide ribosomal RNA is filed under the name uncultured bacterium. Its description in RNAcentral is "partial 16S ribosomal RNA". It matches the Rfam family "Bacterial small subunit ribosomal RNA", at positions 29 to 507 of the family's 1533-position model. The record is from RNAcentral.
GUGAACGCUGGCGGUAGGCCUAACACAUGCAAGUCGAACGGCAGCACAGUAAGAGCUUGCUCUUACGGGUGGCGAGUGGCGGACGGGUGAGGAAUACAUCGGAAUCUACUUUUUCGUGGGGGAUAACGUAGGGAAACUUACGCUAAUACCGCAUACGACCUACGGGUGAAAGCAGGGGAUCUUCGGACCUUGCGCGAUUGAAUGAGCCGAUGUCGGAUUAGCUAGUUGGCGGGGUAAUGGCCCACCAAGGCGACGAUCCGUAGCUGGUCUGAGGGGAUGAUCAGCCACACUGGAACUGAGACACGGUCCAGACUCCUACGGGAGGCAGCAGUGGGGAAUAUUGGACAAUGGGCGCAAGCCUGAUCCAGCCAUACCGCGUGGGUGAAGAAGGCCUUCGGGUUGUAAAGCCCUUUUGUUGGGAAAGAAAAGCAGCAGGUUAAUACCCCGCUGUUCUGACGGUACCCAAAGAAUAAGCACCGGCUAACUUCGUG